RNAcentral lists this ribosomal RNA (253 nucleotides) under uncultured bacterium. Its description in RNAcentral is "partial 16S ribosomal RNA". It matches the Rfam family "Bacterial small subunit ribosomal RNA", at positions 524 to 776 of the family's 1533-position model. The record is from RNAcentral.
GACGUAGGAUGCAAGCGUUGUCCGGAUUUAUUGGGCGUAAAGAGUUCGUAGGCGGUUCGUUAAGUCUGAUGUUAAAGCCUGGGGCUCAACCCCGGGAGUGCAUUGGAUACUGGCGGACUGGAGUGUGGUAGAGGCUAGUGGAAUUCCCAGUGUAGCGGUGAAAUGCGUAGAUAUUGGGAAGAACACCAGUGGCGUAGGCGACUAGCUGGGCCAUAACUGACGCUGAGGAACGAAAGCUAGGGGAGCAAACAGG